RNAcentral lists this non-coding RNA (86 nucleotides) under uncultured Coprococcus sp. RNAcentral describes it as "Purine riboswitch". It matches the Rfam family "Purine riboswitch aptamer". From Rfam's summary of the family: Riboswitches are metabolite binding domains within certain messenger RNAs that serve as precision sensors for their corresponding targets. The record is from RNAcentral. Lineage: Bacteria; Bacillati; Bacillota; Clostridia; Lachnospirales; Lachnospiraceae.
UAGAAAAUAUAAUUAUAUGUAUAAGCCCAUAAUAUGGUUGGGCGUAUCUACCAGCUACCGAUAAUAGUUGACUACGACAAGGAAUG